ACUCCUAAAGUGAUUCCUUCCCGUUCAUGACAAAACAAAGUAAAGGGUUUUUUCUAAUUAGGGAGUCCAAGAGCGGGAGCAACACUGAGGGCUUGCUUAAGGGCCACAAAUGCUUGUUCGGCUUCAGGAGUCUAAGGGAGGGGUUCCGGGGUGGCAUCAUGAGUAAAUGCUUGCAAGUGUUUUGCAAAAGGAGCAUAACCCAGGAUCCACUGUCUACAAUAACUCGUUGCACCUACGAAUCCCCUCAUCUCUUUUCUAGUCAUAGGUUUGGGAAUGUUGAGGAUAGCUUCAACUCUAUUAGGGGAAAAGUGUCGUUCUCCUGCUGAGAUAUGCCCUAAAUAAUGUACCUUAGACUUACAGAGCUGCAAUUUAGAUUUUGAGGCCUUGUGGCCUUUUUGAGCUAAAGCUGUGAGGAGUGUCAAAGUAUCUUGCUUACAGGCUUCUAAAAUGGGUGAGGCUAACAACAGAUCAUCAAUAUACUGAAGAAGGGUGAACCCCCCUUUGAACAUGAUAGGAUAUAAAUCUUUUUUCAGGAUCUGGGAAAACAGGGUGGGGGACUCUGUAUAUCCCUGAGGGAGUCUUGUCCAGGUAUAUUGGAAUUUUUGAUAAGUAAAUGCAAACAGAUACUGGCUAUCCUUAUAAACGGUGAUAGAAAAAAAAGCAGAACAAAGGUCUACUACUGUGAAAUACGUAGCAUCUGAAGGGAUACAGGAAAGAAUAGUGGCAGGGUUAGGGACCAUGGGGAAAGCGGGUAAAACAGCAGCAUUUACAGCUCAAAGGUCUUGCACAAAGAGAUAAGUAUCUUUACCAGGUUCUUUUGCCAGGUAGGAUAGGUGUGUUACAAGGGGAGCAUAUUGGGACAAUAAUCCCUUGCUCAAGGAGUGAGGAAAUGACAGGCUUGAUCCCUUCUUCAGCUUCCUUUGAGAUGGGGUAUUGCGGGACACGAGGAAGUGGCUUGGCAGGGUUCAGGGUGAUACGCACUGGUUCAGCACUCAGCAUGUGUCCCACUUCAUUCGCAUGGGUGGACCACAGCUGUGGAGGUACUCGUGCCAACAGUUCCUCUUGCAAGUAGGAAGUGUCAGGAUCAGAGUACUCCUGGGUUAGCAAAGCCACAAGUUCGGUUUCCCUAUGUGCCGGUACCUCAAGGUAAACACCAUCUGGGCUACAAUAAAUCAACCAUCCCAGUUUACACAGCAAAUCCUUUCCAAGAAGGUUGACAGGUGCACAGGGGCUAAGAAAAAAGGCAUGAUUUUCAGACAAAGGGCUAAUAGAGAUGGAGACAGGUUUAUCAGAAAUAAGGCAUUUAACAAAUGGACCAGAUUGGUCAGUAGCAAGCAAAGGAGCGAUGAUGUCACUGUCCCUCAGGCUGUCCUAUCCAACACUGGGAAAAUUGACAGGAAGAGGAGGUGGGGGCUGGGGGCUGGGUCCUUGGCCGGGGCGGUUGGGGCAUUUUGAUUUCCAAUGUCCUUCUUGCUUGCAAGAAUGACAUUGGUUCUCAUAGCCUGGGUUUUGUGGGCCGGAGGAUCUAUCUUUUUCCCUGAAUCUACCCGGGCCUCCUCUUCCUCAUCUUCAUCUCUUUCCUCUACCUGGACCUUGCAACUGAGAAAUCUGUAAGGCCAUUAACUUAAACUCCGCGUUGUUUUUGGACUGUUCCAAUUUGUUAUGAAAAUGGUUCACUGCAGCAAGGACUUCAGUCAAAUCUUUAGUUUCUCAGCUAAUAAUUACUGUUUGAAUUUUCUCAGCAAUUUUAGGGUUAAGUCCCUGGACGAAUGCUGCCACUAUUGCUUGUUUAGCAUUUCCGACCGGGUCAUCUAUUCUUGAAUAUUGUUCAAAUGCCUGCUUGAGGCAUUCCAAAUAGUCAGUGGGGUGUUCAUUUUUGUUUUGUUUACAGGUAUUUAUUUUGGGCAGUCUGCCUUUUUUGGGCAAAUUGUGAGAACUGCCUGAACCAAAGCAUUUCUCUUGUCAAUAAAGUCUUGGCCAGUCCUUGGGUUUUGAUCUGGCCAAGUACAAGCAGCGUACAGACGCAGCAUAGUUUCCUUGGGCAAAAUGGAUCGCAUGAGCUGAUUAAUGUCAGCCCAUGUUGGAUUAUAAUAAUUUAUAACAGUCUGCAAUUCUUCCUGAAAUUUUUCUGGGUCUUCCCUGAUUUUGGGGAAUUUUUGAGUUAAAUUGUAGAGAUCACCUGGAGUCCAGGGUGCAUGCACGGUUACUAUAUUUUGUCCAUUGGUGCCAAUGCCUGGCAUUUGCCUUAGCGGGUAAGAUUGUGCAGCUCGGGAUCUAAGAUUGAUGGGAGAUCUUUCCAUGCUUAUUCUCAUUCUUCUAAAUACCCCUGUGGUGGGUUGUGACCCAGGAGUAAAUUGCCACACUGGUGAUGACUGAGUGGCAGAUAUGGUGGAUGAGUCUGGACUAUUAAGCUCCGUGGAUGAAUUUAUCAAAGGAGCUUCAGCUAAUGGGUUACUAGCCUGGGCUGCAGCCUGAUGUUGAACCGGUUGUUGCUGAUGUGGGAGUCCCAGGAGAGCAGGGUUUGAACAAAGGUCAAGGACAUCCUCUGCUGGCUCCGGCGGUGGGGGUGUCCCGGGCAAUGCUGGAUACAUCGGAGUGGUGGCCGGCGUGUAAUUUGGGGGAGCAGCCAAUUUCUCCCGAACAGCUUUUAACUGCUGUUUUAAUUUUUCUUGAGAGUUUUUUAGAUUUUUAGUUUGAGAUUCUGUCCGUCUUUUGGACAUCUCAUCAUACUAAUAAAAGAACGCGUCCCACUGGUUUUGUGGUGUUUUGGAUCCACGGGACUCUAAAGCCCCUCUUAAGUGCACUAUUUUAUCCUGAUCAAAUGUUCCUUCCUGUGGAAAUUGCUUCACGGGAUCACCCUUAGUAUACCAGUUCCACUUAUCCAAGUACUUGCAAGCCUUGGGAGAAUAGUGUGUGUACAUAAAGUACACCGGAGUCCCCUUAGGGGGGACAGGAACUUGUUUAGACUGACCUGUUCUCAUUUUCAGUCACACAGGGAGACGUAGGAGAGGCUUAUUUAGGAUGUCCGGGCCGCUCAGUGCCUUGCCCGCAGUCUUUCACCGCCCAGACAAAAGGCUUCUGACCCGACACCGCCUCAUACAAUGGAAGCAGGGAGGGAAACACAAGAGGGAUCCUUUCACUCCUGCUCUAGGCAGAAGCUACUGGGACAAGGGGGUGGAAAAGACAAAAUCACUCAGACGCCCUGUCUACUGGGUCACGAGGUUUCUGCUGGGCCCCUUGCUUUCGACGCUACCUUUUUAGGCAGAAUCGGGGCAGCUAGACCCAGCCUGUUUCAGACCUGGUCAGUGGCUCAUUUUUGUAAACAUACACACACGCACAUUCAGUCGGCCAGACCUCCUCCCCAACACUGCCUUAGUUAAUUAACUACAAGCCCGAUAUGCUGUUGGAUGAAGGUGCUUCAAACAGUUUCUCCUCUCCCUGAAUAAAACGUAUGUUACCAGAUACAAAAUUUUAGACGGCAGUAAGGUUCAGACCUGUUUUAACAAGGUUUAGAUCCAGUUACCACGGCUAAGUUGGAAGCCUACGGGCAGUCUUCCUCCGAAACCCCAAUAGAGAUUUUGAAUGAGGUCUCUUACCUCUCAAAUUUGGCGCCUCGGGGUUCGGGGAAGGGGGGGGCAGUCCGCGGUCCUCCUUCCUCAGCACGUGUUCUGGAUCCAAGACACGGCACCAGGAAUUGUCAUGGAAACACACACAGCAUCCUUUUGGGUCAGAAGAAGAAGCAGACAAGACGGCAGACAACCAACUGAGGAAGAAAGAAACCCCUGCCCACCCAGCAGGAGGGAAAGGUCCCUGAAGGGCAGCUGGAGAAGAAGGAACGGAAGCAGGAAAAGAAAGCUCGGGAACAAGAAGUGUGGCUUGCGGUGCGCAGGAGGGAUGGAGCAAAAUUUUUAAUGUAUGCUUAGGUAAAUGCAGAUGGAGAGUGGUGUGCAUGUCUACAUUUUCAAACACCCAUUAGAAGCAAGCAGCCGCACGCUUCAAGCUGCACUGUGCACUCGGUCUUGGGUUGGCCCCGAUUGUGUGUAGGGAGGUUGAGGCUUUGUGCUAGUUGUGCGUAUUGAUAUGCAGCAGUGAAGGGUUUUGCAGGUUGUCUAGCUUGGCUAGUUAAGCAGUGGAUCAGAACAGAUGCGGUUGAAGGCAGUGUGUAGGUUUUCCUUGGUUGGGUUGUUGAGCGGUUCUCGGUGUCGGUGUAGAAAUGCAGGUUUGUGCUCAGUUCUGUUUGUGGCUUGGCUGUAGCUUGCUUAGGCUGUAGGUUGCGGGGCCAAUUUCAGGCUGUUUGUGGUGCAGUUUGUUUGAGUCUGGUAGUUAAGGCUCCGUGGGUGUUUGAAAGCAUUUAAUCUCCAGCUCCAUGACCCAUGAGGAUGAAGGACUCAUCCUGUGUCCAAAGGAUCCUAAAGGGAGUUGGCGUGGUCAGCGUGAAACCGGUAGGAGCAAGCGGGCCUAAGAUGUGCACAGUCAAAUAAUAAACGGUCUAAGAAACUUCACCUCGUGGCUGGUGCUUUUCUACGCUGAGAAGAUUUGGCCGCGGGCCUUUCCUGUUGCGAGCUGGCUGAAGGAUGAACCUUUUCAUUCAGUCUGCCGAUCCAAUCUGUGUUCUUACUUGUGCAAUGCAAAUAUUUCCCCUUCUGAUGAACCAGUGGUAAACGAGCGUGCAACACAUGGUUCCUAGUCUUCAGUUUACAAUGGUUAAUGCACUGUAGGACAUCAGUCCUGAUUUAUUUGAGGAACUGAAAAAAAAGGCCCAGUGAAGUUGUGGUGCUUCGGUAUAAUCUGUUGAAGUUCAGCUGUCCCUUGUCUCAAAAGAAAAAAUGGUCCCAAUAAAAAUAAAAUGCUCAGGAGCCUUAUGAGCUACAUGGGUUUUUUUUAGUUCAGGUGUUUCAGACCUUCUUCUCGGACUGCCUUCAGUACAAGUACAAUGAGCUUGUGCCGUGCGAAGGUGUGAAGGUGCACAGAAGCUGCCCAUUGGGAGCAAGCAGCCGCACACUUCAAGUUGCACUGUGCACUUGGUCUUGCGUUGGCCCCGAUUCUGUGGAAGGAAGCUGAGGUUUUGUGCUAGUUGUGCAGUUUGAUAUGCAGCAGGCAAGGGUUUUGCAGGUUGUUUGGUUUACCUAGUUAAGCAAUGGAUCAGAAUAGAUGUGACUGAAGGCAGUGUGAAGGGUUGUUGAGCAGUUUUCGGUGUUAGUGUAGAAAUGCAGGUUUGUGCUCCAUUCUGUUUGGGGCUUGGCUGUAGCUUGUGGGGACAGUCCUUUGUCCAAACGAUCAUAAAGGUAGUUGGCGUGGCUAACAUCAAAUCAGUAGGAACAGGUAGGCCUAAGAUGUGCACAGUCACACAAUGAAUGGUCUACAAAACUUCACCUCGUGGCUGGGGCUUUUCUAUGCUGAGAUUUGGCCGCGGGCCUUUCCUGUGGAGAGCUGGCUGCAGGAUGAACUUUUUCAUUGUGGCUGCCGAUCCGAUCUGUGUUCUUACUUAUGCAAUGCAAAUAUUUCCCCUUCUGAUGGUCUAACAAGAAAAAAUGGUCCCAAUAAAAAUGAAAUGCUCAGGAGA
Alligator mississippiensis (American alligator) is the source of this 5563-nucleotide long non-coding RNA. RefSeq lists it as uncharacterized. The record is from RefSeq and is a predicted model, not a curated record. NCBI's taxonomy places the organism in Eukaryota, Metazoa, Chordata, Crocodylia, Alligatoridae. The transcript has 3 exons.